GAUGAACGCUGGCGGCGUGCCUAAUACAUGCAAGUCGAGCGAACAUCCGACGAGCUUGCUCGUGUUACGUUACCGGCGGACGGGUGAUUAACACGUGGCUUACCUUCCUCUAUGACUUGGAUAACUUCGAGCAACCGUAGCUAAUGCCGGUUCAUAUUGUGAACCGCAUGGUUCUAUAGUGAAUUUCGGUUUUUCUGUCUCUUCUCACUGGCUCCCCGCCUGAUGAGCUAGUUGUUGAGCUAACAGCUGACGACGGCAAGCAUGCCUAGCCGACCUGAGAGGGGGAUCGGCCACACUGGAACUGAGACGCGGUCCAGACUCCUACGGGAGGCAGCAGUAGCGAAUGUUGGGAAAUGGGCGGAAGACUGACGGAGCAACGGCAGGUGGGUGAAGAGGGUCUUCGGAUCGGAAAACUGCGUUAUUAGGGAAGAACAAAUGUGUAAGGAAAUAUGCACGUCUUGACGGUACCUAAACAGAAAGCCACGGCUAACUACGUG
This 497-nucleotide ribosomal RNA is filed under the name uncultured bacterium. Its description in RNAcentral is "partial 16S ribosomal RNA". It matches the Rfam family "Bacterial small subunit ribosomal RNA", at positions 28 to 507 of the family's 1533-position model. The record is from RNAcentral.